RNAcentral lists this ribosomal RNA (491 nucleotides) under uncultured bacterium. Its description in RNAcentral is "bacterial SSU rRNA". It matches the Rfam family "Bacterial small subunit ribosomal RNA", at positions 28 to 521 of the family's 1533-position model. The record is from RNAcentral.
GAUGAACGCUAGCGGCAGGCUUAACACAUGCAAGUCGAGGGGUAUAGUAGCAAUACUAGAGACCGGCGCACGGGUGCGUAACGCGUAUGCAACCUACCUUUUACAGAGGGAUAGCCCCAGAGAAAUUUGGAUUAAUACCUCAUAGUGUUAUUAGAUGGCAUCAUUUGAUAACUAAAGUUCCAACGGUAAAAGAUGGGCAUGCGUCCUAUUAGCUAGAUGGUAAGGUAACGGCUUACCAUGGCUACGAUAGGUAGGGGUCCUGAGAGGGAGAUCCCCCACACUGGUACUGAGACACGGACCAGACUCCUACGGGAGGCAGCAGUGAGGAAUAUUGGACAAUGGGCGCAAGCCUGAUCCAGCCAUGCCGCGUGCAGGAAGAAGCAUCUAUGGUGUGUAAACUGCUUUUGUACGGGAAGAAACACUCCUACGUGUAGGAGCUUGACGGUACCGUAAGAAUAAGGAUCGGCUAACUCCGUGCCAGCAGCCGCGGU